UACAGAGGUCCCAAGCGUUGUUCGGAUUCACUGGGCGUAAAGGGCGCGUAGGCGGUUCGUACAGUCAGACGUGAAAUUCCUGGGCUCAACCUGGGGGCUGCGUUUGAUACGUGCGGACUUGAGUGCGGAAGAGGGUCGUGGAAUUCCCAGUGUAGAGGUGAAAUUCGUAGAUAUUGGGAAGAACACCGGUGGCGAAGGCGGCGACCUGGUCCGAUACUGACGCUGAGGCGCGAAAGCGUGGGGAGCAAACAGG
RNAcentral lists this ribosomal RNA (253 nucleotides) under uncultured bacterium. RNAcentral describes it as "partial 16S ribosomal RNA". It matches the Rfam family "Bacterial small subunit ribosomal RNA", at positions 524 to 776 of the family's 1533-position model. The record is from RNAcentral.